RNAcentral lists this long non-coding RNA (636 nucleotides) under Salmo salar (Atlantic salmon). Its description in RNAcentral is "lncRNA (ENSSSAG00000120213.1)". Lineage: Eukaryota; Metazoa; Chordata; Actinopteri; Salmoniformes; Salmonidae. The record is from RNAcentral.
GGAAGCAAACAUAUCCAAACUUCCUCCCUCCCACUCCUCAGAUUCCUUUAGAUUUUUAUUAGAUGAUAUCAAUAACAACAGGCCUCUCUCUCUAUCUAUCCAUCCACCUAACUAUCUCUCUUUCUGUUAUCAGUCUCAGAUUAAAACCUGUGUUCUAUUUCUCUUUUCAGAUUCCGUGAAUCUCUCUCUCAGCCCUGUAGAGAAAUAUAGUGUGUUGUCUCAGACCGGAGGAGGUCUGAGGCGUGGCAAUAUAAACCAGCAUGUCAGCCAUGUUGACUGAGCUGUCGGUCAACAUCAUGGAGGCAAUGAGUCAGGGCCGCUAAACUUAACAGGAAGAUCAGGUCAACAACAUGGAGACAAUGAGUCAGGGCCGCUAAGCUUAACAGGAAGAUCAGGUCAACAACAUGGAGGCAAUGAGUCAGGACCACUAAACUUAACAGGAAGAUCAGGUCAACAACAUGGAGGCAAUGAGUCAGUACCGCUAAACUUAACAGGAAGAUCAGGUCAACAACAUGGAGGCAAUGAGUCAGUACCGCUAAACUUAACAGGAAGAUCAGGUCAACAACAUGGAGGCAAUGAGUCAGGACCGCUAAACUUAACAGGAAGAUCAGGUCAACAACAUGGAGGCAAUGAGUC